GCUGGGCCAUCUUAGGCCACAUUUGAUGGAAGACAAGGGAGCUUCUAAGAAGUCUAGCUGGGAGAUUUCCUUUGGGUUCUUAGUGACUCAAAAAGGAGCUUUUCCAAAUGUCCUUCAUCUUGGGGAGGGUCCUAAUUCCAGGAUGGAGAAAGUAACAGAGAGGCAAGCUCCAUGCCAAUUUGUUGUGUGCAUAUCCAGCCUGCUCAUGGUGCAGGUGCCUGCAUCUGUACCUUUUUUUUUUUUUUUUUUUUAAUGGGCAGCCUCUUUAUCCCAAGUCUCUUUCCUCUUGUACCUGCUCAACCUCCUGCUUGUCUGCUUGGGCUGUCAUUAGUAAUAACAAGCUGUUAUGUAGCACUUAUACUUCAUGUUCGAUCCUCAUGGUCCGCUGGCCAUAGGUGCUGUUGUAACCCCAUUUCACAAGGAAAUCAUUGAUGCCCAGUGAGGAUCAGUGACUUGUCUGAAGUUGCAAUCAAUAAGGUCAUGGUUGGCCCAGACAUAAGUCCAGGCCCUUUGGCUCUAUGCUGUUGGCAGGAGUGUGGGAAGAGAGGUGCAGGGUAACCACAGGUCCACACACAGGCCCUGGCCAAGAACUGCUUCACAGCCACACUCCUCCAUGAAAGUUGUCUGCUCUGUGGGGUCCCAGCAG
Molecule: long non-coding RNA, 646 nt
Organism: Herpailurus yagouaroundi (jaguarundi)
Lineage: Eukaryota; Metazoa; Chordata; Mammalia; Carnivora; Felidae
Exons: 2
Source: RefSeq, a predicted model, not a curated record